AUGAGUCCACCAUACCUUCCUAUAUGCGGUAUUUACCUGCCGUUCCAAGUAAAUUUGUAUGUGCCAAACUCCAAACCUUCAAAUGAAAUUCUGUUUUGUAUAUUCGAGCAGCUCAUGUUUCCACUAGGGCUGCCUAUAUCUUCCAUGCUAGGUGGGUUAUUCUCAAGAGGAGUGGACUCCGCUCCUCAUUCACGAGAAAGGGCCGGUAAUCGGGAUGCCCAGUCCCAUGAUCCAAAAAGAUCAAAGCAAAUCAAUAUAAUUGAACAAAACUCCCCCAGGAUUGUUGUUAGUUGGAGGCACUCGUUGUUUCGAGCAAGCCAUGGAUUGAUGCUUGUUGGUGGUGGGGGAGUAUAA
RNAcentral lists this ribosomal RNA (354 nucleotides) under Triticum aestivum (bread wheat). RNAcentral describes it as "partial small subunit ribosomal RNA". Lineage: Eukaryota; Viridiplantae; Streptophyta; Magnoliopsida; Poales; Poaceae. The record is from RNAcentral.